Molecule: ribosomal RNA, 497 nt
Filed under: uncultured bacterium
Lineage: Bacteria
Description: partial 16S ribosomal RNA
Rfam family: Bacterial small subunit ribosomal RNA
Source: RNAcentral
GAUGAACGCUGGCGGCGUGCCUAAUACAUGCAAGUCGAGCGAACGGACGAGAAGCUUGCUUCUCUGAUGUUAGCGGCGGACGGGUGAGUAACACGUGGAUAACCUACCUAUAAGACUGGGAUAACUUCGGGAAACCGUAGCUAAUACCGGAUAAUAUUUUGAACCGCAUGGUUCAAAAGUGAAAGACGGUUUUGCUGUCACUUAUAGAUGGAUCCGCGCUGCAUUAGCUAGUUGGUAAGGUAACGGCUUACCAAGGCAACGAUGCAUAGCCGACCUGAGAGGGUGAUCGGCCACACUGGAACUGAGACACGGUCCAGACUCCUACGGGAGGCAGCAGUAGGGAAUCUUCCGCAAAGGGCGAAAGCCUGACGGAGCAACGCCGCGUGAGUGAUGAAGGUCUUCGGAUCGUAAAACUCUGUUAUUAGGGAAGAACAUAUGUGUAAGUAACUGUGCACAUCUUGACGGUACCUAAUCAGAAAGCCACGGCUAACUACGUG